Molecule: transfer RNA, 85 nt
Filed under: Anaerolineaceae bacterium 4572_32.1
Lineage: Bacteria; Bacillati; Chloroflexota; Anaerolineae; Anaerolineales; Anaerolineaceae
Description: tRNA-Tyr
Rfam family: tRNA
About the family: Transfer RNA (tRNA) molecules are approximately 80 nucleotides in length.
Source: RNAcentral
GGGUCGGUGUCCCGAGUGGCAAAGGGGGCGGACUGUAAAUCCGCUGGCUCAGCCUUCGCAGGUUCGAGUCCUGCCCGGCCCACUA